GGGAAUCUGCCCUUUGGUUCGGAAUAACAGUUGGAAACGACUGCUAAUACCGGAUGAUGACGAAAGUCCAAAGAUUUAUCGCCAGAGGAUGAGCCCGCGUAGGAUUAGCUAGUUGGUGUGGUAAAGGCGCACCAAGGCGACGAUCCUUAGCUGGUCUGAGAGGAUGAUCAGCCACACUGGGACUGAGACACGGCCCAGACUCCUACGGGAGGCAGCAGUGGGGAAUAUUGGACAAUGGGCGAAAGCCUGAUCCAGCAAUGCCGCGUGAGUGAUGAAGGCCUUAGGGUUGUAAAGCUCUUUUACCCGGGAUGAUAAUGACAGUACCGGGAGAAUAAGCUCCGGCUAACUCCGUGCAGCAGCCGCGGUAAUACGGAGGGAGCUAGCGUUGUUCGGAAUUACUGGGCGUAAAGCGCACGUAGGCGGCUUUGUAAGUUAGAGGUGAAAGCCUGGAGCUCAACUCCAGAACUGCCUUUAAGACUGCAUCGCUUGAAUCCAGGAGAGGUGAGUGGAAUUCCGAGU
Molecule: ribosomal RNA, 519 nt
Filed under: uncultured bacterium
Lineage: Bacteria
Description: bacterial SSU rRNA
Rfam family: Bacterial small subunit ribosomal RNA
Source: RNAcentral